GUACGGCACAGCUGAUGACACACACAUGUGAGAGCAAACUUUGCACCAUCCCAACCCGAAAAGCUGGAUGGGUGCCACCAUCUGAUGUCUCGGCAGAAAACGGCUGUGCCACCUUGCCAGAAUGCAAGACGGGGCACAGUGGGAGGUGCAGGAUUUAUUUUCCCCGGUUUAUAACUGCACAGUUAAAUCACACCUUUUCCUGCCACUUCAACAAUUGUGUGCGUUCACCAAAGCUGCCAUGCUGCCUCAUGAGAGAUACUCUUUCAAUGGCUACAGCCUUCAUCUUCCUCUGAAAGCUGAACUGCAUCCUCCACAUUACACCAUCAUUGCAGCUCUACUUUCAUAACAGCAGUUUGAUUUCCAUCCAAACAAAGCUAGAGGAAGAAAAGGGAGAACAUCUAAUAAGUAGAUUCCAUCUCUGGUUCGCAGGUGAAUUCCUCCUCUCCAGUGCUGAAAUCGGUGAUGAGUCGUAGCUGGUAAAAUGAAAAGGUCACAAUUCAAGAAACGUAGAUGAAGACAUUCAUCAUGGAGUCCAGGCAACAAUAAGUUUGUCACAGAAUGAAAGAAGAUGCAACUUUGGUGCUGUUAGGAGGAGUAUGAAUCUAAGAAGGAAAUGUUUAGUGCUCUCUAAUACAUCAGUUCCCCUGGCAACACUUUCUUUAGCUUUAGAAAUGUUUUGUCUCUGGUCCAAACAGUUAGCUUAAUUGCUCUGGUUAUCAUUCAGUUUAUUCUAAGGAACUUUUCAAUGUACGAUAGCAUGCCAAGAAAAUGUAAACAUCAUUCUCUACACUCAUUAUAAUCACUAUUACAUUUUUCAUUAUUGCUUAGGGUCAUGAUUUUAGACUCCCUCCUGAGCUUUAUAUGCACAGCCAGAUUCUUCAAGGAGUUCAGGCAAAGUGCAAAUCUAUCCAGAGCCCUUUUAAAACAGGUGUGGUCGACACCUAUCCGCCAAUGCAUGGUAAGGCCAGCUCUGGACAUGUCAGUGCAUAAGACCUGUCAGUGAUAUGCACACACUAGCACUAUGCCCAGGGCUCCAAAUCCCACAGGACUUCCCUGAUAGUGCCAGGAAAACUACCAUGGCAGUAUGAAAUUACACUCCUUUUCUUUCUUUCCUGAUGAUUUUGCAAGGUUGCCCGUUAUGAGAAAUGUUAAUACUUACACCUCUGAAAAUAGAAUAUUAAUGAAUAUUCCCUAAGUGACCUGCAGUGACACUGCAAUGAUGAGAGAGCAGAUUAUCACCAUAAAAGUAGGCAUUAUAUUAAAAGAGCUAUGUCUUUUUUGCAUUUUCAUGCAAUACGCCUGUAUGACUGACAUCUUACUGCUCCCUUUGGGCAUUCAGUUAUGAUCACCAAGUAGAGAUGGCAGGGUUUUUUCUUAGAAAUGAAUGUCUCCUAUGCACUGUACCUGUGAUACCGAGUCUGUAACUGAGGGCUGCCCUUUUGCAGUAAGAGAACAUAAGUCCCUGGCAGAAAUCAUUCCAGAUAUUCAAUUUCUCUUUAUAUGGCAGACUAAUGGAAGUGCUCAUGAUCACUGCUGUAUUUUGGCUUUCUCUUAUAGAGGAGCAGUAAACUUCAUUUUGAUAUUCAGCCAUUUCCUCUGCAACACUUAUUUACAAAAUAAGAUUCCCUAAAAGUUGAGGGAACUGAUGAGUACUGAAAAUUCUCAAGAACAUAGUAAAGGCUGAUAUGUUUAUAGGGUAAAGUCUCCAGUCCCCACUUCUCCCCUAGCCCAUGCAGCCAGCACUUCUUCAGCAAUGUUGGAGAAAGCAGUACUGCUCAGUUACAGUGGCCUCCAGCAGCAAACCUCCUGCCACUAGAGUUACACCUGCAAGGCAUGCAGGGUUUGGCCUCAGCAUAAGGGGAUGGGAUCCCCAAAAUGGGAAGCACGGAGAUGUGUGACACACCCUUGCCCUCAGCACUGAACUCUGUGCCAGCACCAAGCGCUGCUAUUCUGCCGCCUCCUCACCCCCAGCAGGAGCAAGCUACAUUACUCACACACCCUGCAGCUCCCUCCUACUCCUGCCUCAUGGCUCAGCUCACUCUUCUUUUUAAUUCCCUCGUUGAACCUUUACUAGGAGAAGCACAUGUAAAAGCUGCAGGUCCCUUUUUGUGCUGGAGUCAAACAUUUACUUACAACUGCUGUUCCAGCAAUAACAAUUAAAUUAAACAUGAAGGGAAUAGAGCUGCCUGGAAGAUCUACAAGCUGGAGGUGUAAAUCACACCACAUAACUAAUUUAUGACAUUCUACACCUACAGUUGUACAUUGAUGAUUUGUAAGUGUAAGGACGGCUGUGAUUUCUAAGUGCUUUUAGUGAUGGAAGAAUAGGAAGCUGAUUACACAGAUCUCUAUCCCUGCACCCCAAGUCAUAAAUUAAUUGAGGUCAGGUUAGGUCAGUAGCUGAAUGCAAAGAAUAUUGUGUACAGUUGGAGACAUUCUAAAAAGGGACUUGGAUUUUUUUUCCCACAAAAAUAAUGCAUUAUUGAAUUUGUGCAACACAAGGCAACAACAAGGUUAUUUCUCAACCACUGAAAUUGUCCAAUUACAUUUUUCAGUGAAAAUGUACUUGAGUGAACUUUUUAGAAUGAUAGCCUUAAACCACUCUAUUACUAGGCUUUGAAAAAAAAAAAAUCUGUUUGCUCAGCCAGAACAUGUGCAGAUUCAAGUCUGUUUUUCAGGCUGGAUCUCCUAUGUACUGCAUAUAUCUAAGUAUCUAAGUCCUAUGACUCAGAUGCUUUCCUCUAUCCAGUGUGAUAAUAUUUGUAGAUACUUUUGGAAAUAUAUUGGUGGAAUGAACUAACAAAUUAAGUUCAACUGCAAACAAACAAGCAAAAUACACCAGAAAGGUAAAUGAGAAAGAAAGAUAAAAGAUAAAGAUAGUAAGGGAGACCUUUUCUAGUUAUGGUUUUUAGUUCAUGACUGCUUGUGCUUUGCAAACACUCUGACCAUCUUCAGCUAUUUGACAUUUCCCUUUCAAAUGAUGGGGAACAGCGCUGUGCUUCCAGGUCCCAAGGAGCAGGCCAGCCAGCCACAGUCAAACAGUGCUGGCUAUGGCAAAACUGUUUCAUGUUUUAGGGUUGUGUUAUUUCAUAGAAUCAUAGAAUAGUUUGGGUUGGAAGGGAUCUCAAAGAUCAUCUAGUUCCAACCCCCCUGCUGCGGGCAGGGACACCCUCCACCAGACCAGGUUGCCCAAAGCCUCAUCCAACCUGGCCUUGAACACUUCCAGGGAUGGGGCAUCCACAACCUCUCUGGGCAACCUGUUCCAGUGCCUCACCACCCUCACAGUAAAGAAUU
This is a long non-coding RNA of Grus americana (Whooping crane), 3291 nucleotides long. RefSeq lists it as uncharacterized. Lineage: Eukaryota; Metazoa; Chordata; Aves; Gruiformes; Gruidae. The record is from RefSeq and is a predicted model, not a curated record. The transcript is spliced from 4 exons.